GUGAAUCAUCAAAUUUUUGAACGCAAAUUGCACUCUCUUCGGAGAGUAUGCCUGUUUGAGGGUCAGCCUAAAAAAAAACGACCUUGUCGCUGUUUUGCGGUGACAUUCGUUCGAAAAUGGGUUCUCUUUAACCUUUGGGUUUUAAGCGGCUUUAAAUUUUUUUUACGAUUUCACGAAAGUUUCUUAGAUUUACUUCUUAUACGUUUUAGGUAACGU
Molecule: unclassified non-coding RNA, 216 nt
Filed under: Glomus sp.
Lineage: Eukaryota; Fungi; Glomeromycota; Glomeromycetes; Glomerales; Glomeraceae
Description: partial contains 5.8S ribosomal RNA and internal transcribed spacer 2
Rfam family: 5.8S ribosomal RNA (bases 1-65)
Source: RNAcentral